This 493-nucleotide ribosomal RNA is filed under the name uncultured bacterium. RNAcentral describes it as "partial 16S ribosomal RNA". It matches the Rfam family "Bacterial small subunit ribosomal RNA", at positions 30 to 523 of the family's 1533-position model. The record is from RNAcentral.
AUUGAACGCUGGCGGCAUGCUCUACACAUGCAAGUCGAACGGUAACAGGUUAAGCUGACGAGUGGUGAACGGGUGAGUAAUGCAUCGGAACGUGCCCGAUCGUGGGGGAUAACGCAGCGAAAGCUGCGCUAAUACCGCAUACGAUCUGAGGAUGAAAGCGGGGGACCGUAAGGCCUCGCGCGAUCGGAGCGGCCGAUGUCAGAUUAGGUAGUUGGUGGGGUAAAGGCUCACCAAGCCAACGAUCUGUAGCUGGUCUGAGAGGACGACCAGCCACACUGGGACUGAGACACGGCCCAGACUCCUACGGGAGGCAGCAGUGGGGAAUUUUGGACAAUGGGCGAAAGCCUGAUCCAGCAAUGCCGCGUGCAGGAAGAAGGCCUUCGGGUUGUAAACUGCUUUUGUACGGAGCGAAAAGGCUCUCUCUAAUACAGGGGGCUCAUGACGGUACCGUAAGAAUAAGCACCGGCUAACUACGUGCCAGCCGCCGCCGUAA